This 214-nucleotide non-coding RNA is filed under the name Bacillus velezensis UCMB5036. RNAcentral describes it as "T-box". It matches the Rfam family "T-box leader". From Rfam's summary of the family: Uncharged tRNA acts as the effector for transcription antitermination of genes in the T-box leader family. The record is from RNAcentral. Lineage: Bacteria; Bacillati; Bacillota; Bacilli; Caryophanales; Bacillaceae. RNAcentral also lists the same sequence under 2 other names.
CAUUGAGCGUUGAAGAGGAUCAGUACGCAGAACUUUCUGUGACAGAGAGCAAAAUGGCCCGCUGAAACAUUUUGCCGCAUGAAACCUGCCGAACCUGCCUUGGAGUCCUGAGGGGAAAACUCAGGCGCGAUAACCUGGCGUUACAGGAAAGCGGGACGCGUGAAAAACGCGUUCAAACAAGGUGGUACCACGGAAAGCCCAUUUCGUCCUUAUU